AUGGAGAUAUGGGAACCAGCCUUGGAUCCGCGGAAGCAUUUCUCACAAGAUGAUAUCCAGAAUAUAAGGAUUCAAUAUAUGAAUCAACUAUUCUUUUGGAAGAAAAACACCGCAGACAAGAGGCUGGUCACUGAUUUCAACCUACAGGUACAAGCAAAGAAAAUCAGAGUUGCAGGUCAGGAGCUUUUUCAUUUCAUCAUUUUCAUUUUGAAGCUGGACAUUUUCUCGAGGAUGCUGCUGCAUUGUCUAUCUCACUGCUGCAGUUGCAAAUCGACAUCAGUAGUUAAGUUGCUGGCGAUGAUGCCUUCACUUUUCUUCCUCUCAGCGUUCUGUUUCCCUAUAUAUAAGUUCCACAUCUUUUGUCAUUUUUCCAAUUUUAUUUUAUUCUUACCACCCUACCUCAAGUCUUGGUGUGUUGGUUGGCGUGUCGGUGUUUUCCAAUACUUGAGCCACCCCUGUUUGUGGUAA
Molecule: ribosomal RNA, 468 nt
Filed under: Triticum aestivum (bread wheat)
Lineage: Eukaryota; Viridiplantae; Streptophyta; Magnoliopsida; Poales; Poaceae
Description: partial small subunit ribosomal RNA
Source: RNAcentral